Molecule: transfer RNA, 76 nt
Filed under: Candidatus Levybacteria bacterium RIFCSPLOWO2_02_FULL_36_8b
Lineage: Bacteria; Candidatus Levyibacteriota
Description: tRNA-Arg
Rfam family: tRNA
About the family: Transfer RNA (tRNA) molecules are approximately 80 nucleotides in length. Their secondary structure includes four short double-helical elements and three loops (D, anti-codon, and T loops). Further hydrogen bonds mediate the characteristic L-shaped molecular structure. tRNAs have two regions of fundamental functional importance: the anti-codon, which is responsible for specific mRNA codon recognition, and the 3' end, to which the tRNAs corresponding amino acid is attached (by aminoacyl-tRNA synthetases). tRNAs cope with the degeneracy of the genetic code in two manners: having more than one tRNA (with a specific anti-codon) for a particular amino acid; and 'wobble' base-pairing, i.e. permitting non-standard base-pairing at the 3rd anti-codon position.
Source: RNAcentral
GCGCCCAUAGCUCAACGGAUAGAGCGCUUCGGUUCUAACGAAAGGGUUGGGGGUUCGAUUCCCUCUGGGCGCACCU